AGUAGUUUGAUCAUGGCUCAGGAUGAACGCUGGCGGUAUGCCUAAUACAUGCAAGUCGUGCGGAAAGGCCUCUUCGGAGGUACUCGAGCGGCGGACGGCAGAGUAACGCGUAGGAACAUACCCCAAACUGAGGGAUAACUGCUCGAAAGAGUAGCUAAUACCGCAUGUGGUCUUCGGACUAAAGCUUCGGCGGUUUGGGAAUGGCCUGCGUUCGAUUAGCUAGUUGGUGAGGUAAUUGCUCACCAAGGCGACGAUCGAUAGCUGGUCUGAGAGGAUGAUCAGCCUGACUGGAACUGAGACACGGUCCAGACUCCUACGGGAGGCAGCAGUAGGGAAUUUUCCACAAUGGCGAAAGCCUGAUGGAGCAAUACCGCGUGCAGGAUGAAGGCCUUCGGGUCGUAAACUGCUUUUAUGUGAGAAGAAUUUGACGGUAACACAUGAAUAAGGGUCGGCUAACUACGUG
Molecule: ribosomal RNA, 463 nt
Filed under: uncultured bacterium
Lineage: Bacteria
Description: bacterial SSU rRNA
Rfam family: Bacterial small subunit ribosomal RNA
Source: RNAcentral